This 361-nucleotide unclassified non-coding RNA is filed under the name fungal sp. Its description in RNAcentral is "partial internal transcribed spacer region". The stretch from base 1 to 46 matches the Rfam family "Eukaryotic small subunit ribosomal RNA", at positions 1786 to 1831 of the family's 1831-position model. The record is from RNAcentral. Lineage: Eukaryota; Fungi.
AAGUCGUAACAAGGUUUCCGUAGGUGAACCUGCGGAAGGAUCAUUAUUGAAUAUUCUUGAUGGGUUGUAGCUGGCUCUUUGGAGCAUGUGCACGCCUGUCUUGACUUAAUUCAUCCACCUGUGCAUCUUUUGUAGUCUUGGGGGUUGAGUGCAGUCGACUGUCGGACGGCUAUUGUAGUCUAUCCGGAUGUGAGGAAUGCUGAGUGCGGAAGCAUACGGCUCUCUUCAAAACGACUUGCAAACCCUCUCCCUCGAGUACUAUGUAUUCAUACACCACAUAGUAUGUUGUAGAAUGUGAUCAAUGGGCCUCUGUGCCUAUAAUAAUCAUAUACAACUUUCAGCAACGGAUCUCUUGGCUCUC